RNAcentral lists this ribosomal RNA (353 nucleotides) under Klebsiella pneumoniae. RNAcentral describes it as "bacterial SSU rRNA". It matches the Rfam family "Bacterial small subunit ribosomal RNA", at positions 97 to 453 of the family's 1533-position model. The record is from RNAcentral. Lineage: Bacteria; Pseudomonadati; Pseudomonadota; Gammaproteobacteria; Enterobacterales; Enterobacteriaceae.
GGCGGACGGGUGAGUAAUGUCUGGGAAACUGCCUGAUGGAGGGGGAUAACUACUGGAAACGGUAGCUAAUACCGCAUAACGUCGCAAGACCAAAGUGGGGGACCUUCGGGCCUCAUGCCAUCAGAUGUGCCCAGAUGGGAUUAGCUAGUAGGUGGGGUAACGGCUCACCUAGGCGACGAUCCCUAGCUGGUCUGAGAGGAUGACCAGCCACACUGGAACUGAGACACGGUCCAGACUCCUACGGGAGGCAGCAGUGGGGAAUAUUGCACAAUGGGCGCAAGCCUGAUGCAGCCAUGCCGCGUGUGUGAAGAAGGCCUUCGGGUUGUAAAGCACUUUCAGCGGGGAGGAAGGCG